Molecule: long non-coding RNA, 1534 nt
Filed under: Manacus vitellinus (golden-collared manakin)
Lineage: Eukaryota; Metazoa; Chordata; Aves; Passeriformes; Pipridae
Description: lncRNA (ENSMVIG00005006258.1)
Source: RNAcentral
ACGAGUUCCUUCCGAGUUCCGAGUUCCUUCCGAGUUCCGACCUUCCGAUUUCUUUCCGAGUUCCAAGUUCCGAGUUCCUUCCGUCUUUCCGACUUCCUUCCUUCUGAGGUCGUUCCUUCUUUCCUUCCUUCAUUCCUUCCUUCCGAGUUCCAAGUUCUGAGUUCUGAAUUCCGAGUUCCUUUCGAGUUCCUUGCUUCCUUUCUUCCUUCUGAGUUCCUUCAUUCUGAGUUACGAGUUCCAAGUUCCGAGUUCCGAGUUCCUUCCGAGUUCCUUCCUUCCGAGUUCCUUCCUUCCUUCCGAGUUCCUUCUGAGUUCCAAGUUCCGAGUUCCUUCCUUCCUUUCGACUUCCUUCCUUCUGAGUUCCGAGUUCUGAAUUCUGAGUUCCUUCUGAGUUCCUUCCUUCGAGUUCCUUCCUUCCUUCCGAGUUCCUUCCGAGUUCCUUCCGAGUUCCUUCCUUCCGAAUUCUGAGUUCCUUCCUUCCGAGUUCCUUCCUUCCGAGUUCCUUCCUUCCGAGUUCCUUCCUUUCGAGUUCUGAGUUCCUUCCUUCCGAGUUCCUUCUGAGUUCUUUCCUUUCUUUCCUUUUUUCUUUCCUUUCGAGUUCCUUCCUUCCUUCCUUGUUCCUUUCUUCCGAGUUCCUUCCUUCCGAGUUCCUUCCGAGUUCCUUCCUUCCUUUCCUUUCCUUUCCUUUCUUUCUUUCCUUCCUUUUUUGGGUGCCCCAAGGUGACACAGGGGACAUUGGGGUGACCUUGGUGUCCCCGAAAGAGGGAUAUUGGUGUUUCCUUAAGGUGACACAGGGGACAUCCUGGUGUCCCCAGGACCCUCCCAGUGUCCCCGAGGUGGGAACAGGAACAUCCUGGUGUCCCCAGGACCCUCCCAGUGUCCCCAAGGUGGGAACAGGGACAUCCUGGUGUCCCCAGGGUGGCCCAGAGCACACCGGGGUGUCCCCAAAGUGAUCCCGAGUUUCUGAUCGUGUGUAUAUUUAUUUUGGGAUGUUUUUUUGACUUUUUUUUCCCUUUCCCCUCCCCUUUCCCUUUUCCUUUUGGAAUUGUACCUAUAUUUCACUCCUGUAGAACUGCAAUAUAAGUGUAAAUAUAUUUAUAUAUAUUGCUUUAACUGCCUCUCUCUCUUGUUUCGGUUCUCUUGUUGUUUUUUUUCUUUUCCCUUGGUCUUAGAAGACCAUCUUUGCUGUUUUAAAGACCAUCUUUGCUGUUUUAAAGACCAUCUUUGCUGUUUCAGACCAUCUUUGCUGUUUCAGACCAUCUUUGCUGUUUCAGACCAUCUUUGCUGUUUCAAACCAUGUCCACGCUGUAGGAAAUGGGUUUGGACCAGGGCAAAAGCCAGAGGGUGGAAAAACCCAGGAUUGGACAAAGAGUGUUUAUAUAAAUUGUGCUACCUGAAGCAGAGGGUUGUGGGUGGUUUGUAGCUUCCGUGCCUUGGAGGCGCCAUUAAAUCCUUUAAUUUAAUUUAAAUUUAAUUUAAUUUAUGAAUUUAAUUUAUUUUAUUUUUAAUUUAAUUUAAAUUUAAUUUAUUUUAA